Molecule: long non-coding RNA, 1225 nt
Filed under: Marmota monax (woodchuck)
Lineage: Eukaryota; Metazoa; Chordata; Mammalia; Rodentia; Sciuridae
Source: RNAcentral
UGAGAACUUUAACAUGAGUAUGUUUUAUAAAGCAGGCAUGACCAAAACUAUAUUGAAUAUUACAAAAAAAGAGUUGAAUAAAUAACUCAUAGACUGUCUGGCUAUGAGCAAUACAAUUUCCUGGAACAAUAUAAUAAGAUAAAUUGCUUGCAAAAUGUAUCCUCUAUAACUGAAUGACAUACGUUGCUGAAUGGGGUUGUUAGCCAUAAAUAAAUUAAAAGUUUUCUUUCUGGCAAUGGAAAGUUGGUCCAGAAGUUCCUUAAGGUCUUAUCUAGAUUUGGAUAUAAAAACUUUUUAUGUGUUUGUGUUUAUCUAUAAACUAAGAUUUAGUAUGUAUUUUGUGUAUUAAGAAAUAUAUUGGUGAUCAUAUCUAUAUCUAUAGUUACAUCAAUCUGUCUAGUCCAAAAAGAGAUUGAAUAUUUGCUCUAAGGUCCUGCAUUAUAUGGAAAUGGUAGAUUUAGGAUUCAAACCCAGGCAAUGUAGCCCAAGGGCAUACCCCUCAGCCACCCAGCUCUCCUCCCUCUCUGAGUAACAAUGUGAUCACACUGUACACUAGGCUUGUAAAAGAUGGUUGUCUCUCCACUGUCUGUGAAAGGACUUGGUCAAGGGACAAUGUCUAAUAAAGUACUGAUUAAAUCAUGAAAGUGAAAGUAUUGUGAUAAAAAGAAUACCUUCCCCUACUAAUUUCUAUUAGAAAUAAGUGGUGCUCUGUCAAGACCAUUGUAGAGACUGUGUAUUUUGUUCAGGGUUCAUGCACAGGGCACAGAGAGGAGAGGGCAGCCAGGAGGACAGCUGGAGCUCCCCUUUGGGUCAGCUACAGUUUCAGUGUGGGAAGUAACUGCUUCAUUUUUACAUAAUUAAGAGAUGCUGUGUAAACAGCUUUUUUUCUACUUUCAGUUUUCCCAGCUAGUUUUGACUUGUCAGUUGACAGGGCAAUUCUACUUUUAUGAAUUUAUCCCAUUAAAAUAAUUUAGGAAAAGCAAAAUAGCUAUAUUCAUGAAGACACUGAAUAUAUCUUUAUUUGUAACAGAACAUAAGAAAGCAUUAGAAAAAGAAAGAAAAAACAGAUGUCUUAAGGUGGAAAAGGCACCUAUAUCAAACCCAUAAAUAUUAUGCAUAAUAUUAUUAACAAUUCUAAAUGUUCUCUGGAAAUAUGGAAAAUAUCUAAGUGUCACAAAAACAGCUCCGUACUAUUUGAAAACACCCAUUUAACACCUAUUAUAAU